AGGGGCGCUUGGCAGGCAGUGUGGAUGUGAAAACCCCACCUCUCACUGCCCCACCUGUGUGUCUUCCCCAGGUCUGCCUCUUCCAUUCCUGAUUCCUCACCGGAGCUGAUAUCCCAGGUGGAUCCCCAGGAUGACCUUCUCCUGAACCAGCUGGAGCCUCCUGAGCCCACUGAGGCAGAGCUCCAUGAUCCGGCUCACACUGACGUCCCACCUGCAAAACUCGUGCCAGCUCCACCUGCAGCUCCCGUGGCAGCUCUGGCCCCACAGCAGGAGCCAGCACCUGGAAGCCCUGCUCCACCAGGAACACAGCUGCAACUUCUGGCUCCAUGGCAGGUGUCCUCUCUUCAGAUCUACCUGGACCCAGCUCUUCACCCCUAUCUGCAAUCUCUCUCUCCUACAGAUUUACUUAUCCUGUUAUUCAUUGCUGCCCUUAUUUCCCAGAGACAGGGCAAUGAUGGAAUUCCUUUAAAUAAACUUUAAGGUUUUAGUCUUGUUUGAAAUGAUCAACCUCCUGCAUUUUCAGUGCAUUCUCAGACAUUGGCAAGGUUGUGCAACCUUCACCACAGUUCAUUUCGAAGAUUUUCCUCAAUUCCAGAACCAAAGGUAUUUCCUCCCCUCUCCCCUCCUCUUAGAUCCACUCAUCUCAUCUCCUUGUAAUUUACCUAUUGAACAUUUUUCACAAAACUGCAAUCAUAUGGGUCUUCAGC
This 707-nucleotide long non-coding RNA is filed under the name Fukomys damarensis (Damara mole-rat). Its description in RNAcentral is "lncRNA (ENSFDAG00000027585.1)". Lineage: Eukaryota; Metazoa; Chordata; Mammalia; Rodentia; Bathyergidae. The record is from RNAcentral.